RNAcentral lists this ribosomal RNA (246 nucleotides) under uncultured Glomus. RNAcentral describes it as "partial 23S ribosomal RNA". It matches the Rfam family "Eukaryotic large subunit ribosomal RNA", at positions 325 to 522 of the family's 3401-position model. Lineage: Eukaryota; Fungi; Glomeromycota; Glomeromycetes; Glomerales; Glomeraceae. The record is from RNAcentral.
GGCGAGAGACCGAUAGCGAACAAGUACCGUGAGGGAAAGAUGAAAAGAACUUUGAAAAGAGAGUUAAACAGUACGUGAAAUUGUUGAAAGGGAAACGAUUGAAGCCAGUCGUACCUAUGGGUAAUCAGCCUUUUGGGUGUGAUUUUGUGGAGCGUGAGGAGUUAAACGCCUUCAUGCCUGCAUAUUCGUGCACUUUGGGUGUAUUUGCCCGUGUGUAAGUUAACAUCAAUUUUGGUGGUCAUAAAA